This is a long non-coding RNA of Felis catus (domestic cat), 2151 nucleotides long. RefSeq lists it as uncharacterized. The record is from RefSeq and is a predicted model, not a curated record. The transcript is spliced from 6 exons. NCBI's taxonomy places the organism in Eukaryota, Metazoa, Chordata, Mammalia, Carnivora, Felidae.
AGCCCACCUGACCCACUCUCAUUUAUGUAUUUGCCUGUUACCUGUCUCCCGCCUUGGAAAUGUAAGUUCUGCUUACCAUCGCGUCCCCAGUGGGAUUGGAACAGUGACUGUCACAUAGUAGGUGCUCAGUUAAGUAUUCGUUGGAAGGAAGAAAGCACAAAUAAAUGCCCACCACACAGACCCAGAGCUCAUGCCAGCUGGUGGUCUGGCUUCCCCUUCUCUACCCAAAUCAGAUCCUGGUGAGCUGGGAUCCCGUUCACCUGUGUUCAAGAGAAGCAAGGGAAUUCGAUUUUUUAAAUGCAAAACCGGAUUUUUCAGGUGUUGGCCAUUAAGGGCUAAAGUAUAUAAAUACACGCGGCCACGUGAAGCCUGUCUGAAGCCCCUCCCUGCUUCCAGUCCCACCUCCGAGGCCGACAGGAAGUGACUCCGCGAACGGGUCUUGUCAUGGUGAUAACGGAGCAGGGCGGCCGGCGGGCGCUCGCUCUCUGUGAUCAGGUCCUGAUCUCCAGUUUUAUGGCUCAGCUCGUCCUCCGCGCCAGUCCCACCGCUGUGUGGCCUCACACCAGAGACUUGACCUCGGCCAACUUCCAUUUCCUCGUCUAUAAGUGGGUGUGAUGAACCCAGUUUGCAGCGGGUCGUCAGGAUUGCUGGCAUCUUUUGCGAAUGGCCCGCGUCUGACACGAGGAGUGACAGACGGUAUGUUUGAUGGAUAACAGUUCUUAGUGUCCUUGCCUCUCGGCACCACUCCUCGCGCCCAAGCAGGUGUUGAGAGCGGGGCCACUGUCUGCUGGUAGGUGUUUGCCGUGCAUGGACCACUGGCCACCCCCAUUCACAAGAGAGAGCACAGAGCCUGCAGGGGAGGGGGCGGCGUGCUGGCCCUCGCCUCUGUCCACCCACUCAACAAACAGGACUGAGCCCUUUUGUGGGCCAGGUGCUGCCCAGGUGCUGGGGACACAACAGUGACCAAGAGGCGGAGACUCCAGAAGGGGAAGACUGAGAAUAAACAAAGCUGGACACGGAACGUGGCCUUAAAGAAGCUCCCUCCGUGCAGUCACAUCUCCACGCAGGACUGCUAUGGCACACAGUGCCGUGUCCCCUCCGUCUCUGAUUCACUUUGCAGUAGAUGGAGAAACAGAUCGGGGAGAUGAGGUCACGCGUCCAACGUUCUGCACCACUUCCGUGACCACAUCUGGAUUCACAGUCCUGUUUUUCUGACCCCGUGGAAGAUUCACACCAGACCACUGGAUUUGUCUUUCGUCUCACUAGGUUCUCACACACUCAGUUCCCCCAAAUAACCUCCCUUGUACCCACUUAAUUCUCAUUCACUGUCUCAGAAGACACCACUCUUAUGAGAUCUCAACAACCUUCCCUUCCCUGAGCCCCUGCAGACAGAUCCAGCUCCACAGGCGUGUGACCUGGGCGGGUGCACAGAGCCCCAGGCUCGCAAGGGCCCCAGUGGUGCUUUAAUGCUCUGCCAUCACCGUCUCGAAAUUCUUCACGACUUGAACUUGAGUUUGUACGUGAAGUCAGAUAGGACAACGGACCGUGCGUGUGAGCAGAGGAGAUCCAUGCGACACGUGUGCCCGAAGCUCCUUCCCAGCCCGUCACCUACGGCGUCCGUGUUACCGCACGGUGGCUCAGGACGCAGGAGAGCUCGGGAGCUCCCAUGUGAGUGCAGGCGUCCCACUGUUUGAAAAUAGACUGUUAUUCAUCCAUUCUCCUGUGGAUGGCCAUGUGGGUUGUUUCCAUUUUUUUGUCUAUUAUGGACCAAACCGCUAUGAAGAAUCACGCACUCAUUGCUCUUGGACCCACCAACGAUGCCCACAACGGGUGCUCUGGUCUUCUGGUAUCAGCCACGAUAGUCAGAAGGUGACUGAUACAUCUCAACCUGGAAAUCAUUAUGCUAAAUGAAAGAAACCGGUCACAAAAACCACAUAUGGCAUGAUUCCAUUUAUAUGAAAUACCCCAAAAAGGCAAAACUGCGUAUGGAAAGUGGAUAGCAGUCUGUUAGGUGGGUAGGUUGGGGGAAUGGGAGUGAGCCGGGAAGGGGUAUGGGGUUUCUGGAAGCAUGCUGAGCUUGUUCUAAAAGGGAUUGUGGUGAAGUUGUGAAUAUACUAGAAGCUACUGAAUUGUGCACUUUAAAUGCGUGAA